CACAAGCAGCGGAGCGUUGGUGGUUUAAUUCGAGGCUACACGAAGAACCUUACCAGGGUUUGACAUGCAAGUGGUAGGAAUCCGAAAGGUGACCGACCCUUCGGGGAGCUUGCACAGGUGCUGCAUGGCUGUCGUCAGCUCGUGUCGUGAGAUGUUCGGUUAAGUCCGCUAACGAGCGCAACCCUCGUCGUGUGUUAUACGUGUCACACGAUACUGCCGGUAUCAAGCCGGAGGAAGGUGGGGAUGAUGUCAAGUCAGCAUGGCCUUUAUAUCCUGGGCUACACACACGCUACAAUGGCAGAUACAAUAGGUUGCGAAACCGCGAGGUGGAGCCAAUCCUCAAAGUCUGUCUCAGUUCAGAUUGUAGGCUGCAACUCGCCUGCAUGAAGUUGGAGUUGCUAGUAAACGCAGGUCAGCUAUACUGCGUUGAAUACGUUCCCGGGGUUU
Molecule: ribosomal RNA, 447 nt
Filed under: uncultured Leptolinea sp.
Lineage: Bacteria; Bacillati; Chloroflexota; Anaerolineae; Anaerolineales; Anaerolineaceae
Description: bacterial SSU rRNA
Rfam family: Bacterial small subunit ribosomal RNA
Source: RNAcentral